UGGGAAGUUUGUUUUCUAGGUCUAGU
Molecule: non-coding RNA, 26 nt
Filed under: Mus musculus (house mouse)
Lineage: Eukaryota; Metazoa; Chordata; Mammalia; Rodentia; Muridae
Source: RNAcentral